UCCACAGAUGUAUUGUUGAAGGGAAAAAUGAGUAUUUUAGUGUGUCGCAACGCGAAAAGAAUGGUGCGAUACAUUUUUCAUGGUUAGUUCGACUGGAGUGACGUCCGGGGGGCACCAAGUAGUCGGAUUUUGUCAUGUUUAUCAGGUCAUGGCACAGAAGGUAAAGGAACUUCAAACAGGCCAACCUCCUCCGACCAGCAAGUGUCGGUAUGCCUGCUUGUGUGCGAAGCGCGGUUACCCUGUCGUACCUUGAAUACUUUGUGUAAAUGAAUCGGAGCGCCCUGCUUUGGAUCUUUUCUAAUGCCAAGUUUAAAUACUUUUGAUGCGGGUUACAUACUAUGCUGCCGUAUUCUAAUAUCGGCCUAACCAGUGUUUUAUAAGCAGUUAAUUUCACCGAGGUGGGGGCUGUUGCUAGCUUUCUUCGUAAAAAUCCGAGUUGUUUGAACGCGAGUGCGCAAACAUUAUUGAUAUGUACGUCCCAUUUCAGCGAUCUUGUUAUUGUGACACCUAGAUAUUUGAAUGAGUCUACUCGUUCCAAGGAAGUAUUACUUAGUUUAUAUGUGAAAUUUAAGGGCUCUUUCUUACGUGUUGCAGUCAUACACCUGGUUUUCUGUGUGUUAAUUUGCAUGCCCCAUUUUUCGCAUCAGGCAACAAUGUUUUGUAGAGACUUAUUAAGUUUUGUCUGUUCAUCGGCUGUUCUAACAGUUGUGUAUAUGACGCAGUCGUCCGCAAAAAGCCUUAUUGUGACCCCUGGUUCCAUACCUGUAUACAAGUCGUUAAUAUAUAAAAGAAAAAGAGUUGGCCCCAGAACCGAUCCCUGUGGCGCACCAGAAAGAACAUCAAGAUAGUCCGAUUCAGUAUUGUUUACGCAAACAAACUGGGACCGAUUCGAGAGGUAGGCUUCGAUCCAUGAAACAGUCUUGGGAUUAAUACCAAUUGAUUUAAGUUUGAAGAUUAGUAAACUGUGUGGAACGCGGUCGAAUGCCUUCGAAAAAUCGACAAAAAUUGCGUCAGCUUGCAGUCUUGAAUCGAUUGUUACAGCAAAGUCGUGUAUAAUUUCUAAAAGUUGAGUUACAGUUGAAAGCCCUUGCCUGAAGCCAUGUUGUCUGAAGUAUAAUAGGUUAUUUUCUUCCAGAUAAGUUACAAUAGCUUUAUUUGUUAUAUGUUCCAUUAGUUUGCAACAUGUGCUGGUUAGGGAUAUUGGCCUGUAUGUGUCAAGAAGCAGCUUGUUCCCACCUUUAUGAAUUGGCACGACCUUUGCGCACAGCCAGUCCGCGGGAAGCACUGCCGUUUCAAGUGAUGCCCUGAAAAUUUUAUGCAGGAAGGGGGACAACUGACCCGCGUAUCGCUUGAGAAAAGUGCUUGAUAAAUUAUCAGGGCCAGGCGAUUUUUUAACGUCUAUCUGUAGCAGCAAAUUCAAAAUGCCGGACUCUGUUAUCAGGAUUUCAGGCAUUGCCGAGUCAUACUCUGAUAAGGGCAUAUUAGGGGCGUGGGCACGGGAGAAUACCGACUGAAAAUAUGUAUUGAACGAGUUAACGAUGGUGCGCGCAUCCUCAACCACUAUACCGGCAAUUUCCAAUUUGAUUGGAGGACUUUCCGGUUUUGACAGAUACCGCCAGAAUUUCCGAGGCUGAUUUGUCAUGAAUUCAAGUAUUGGAAAAAAAGUUGUCUCUCGCGCUUCUUAACCUUUCUUUCAGUUCUCGUGAAAGCUGACUAACCAUAGGGGGAUUAUGUUUUUUCUUGCGCAUCCUUUGAACCCUUCUUUUGAGGUGUAUGAUAGUUCUUGUAAUCCACGGCGACCUCCGCUUUAUCUUUUUUUAGCUUGGUAGGAAUGAAAUUACUUUCACAGUGCGAAAUCCCAUUUUUAUUUUUCAACCAUAGGUCGUUGGCGUCCAACGUACCAUCGUCAAAAUCAUCUUCCAUAAUUCCUAAAAAAUCAAUGAUGCUUUCAUCAUUAGCCCUUGUGUAAUUCUUAACCAAAAUUCUGGUGUCAGUACUAGAGGGCCUUACACCCAUGCCAAGAUCGUCAACCGUCAGUAAAAUCAUUUUAUGGUCGGAUAUACCCGGUUCUAUGCUAACUUCAGGGGUUAAAGAUGUGGACACAAAGACAAGGUCUAGCACUGAGCACACUUGCCCUUGGACGCGAGUUGGUUCAUGCACAAGUUGAGCUAGCGAGAAGGUCUGCAUGAUAUCAAAAAGAAGAUCACAACUUUUGACUUCUUUGUUGCCGAUUAACAAGGUAUCCCAAUCAAUGCCCCCUAAGUUGAAGUCUCCAGCUAGAAUUAAUUUCGUUCUUUGGUUGGUGUGGUUAUAUAAGAAGUCAUACAGUUCUACAAGGUAACUGUCCGGCGCGCCUGGUCGCCUGUAAACACCACCUAUUAGUAAAUUGACAUCAUUGACCUUUAUUGUACACCAGACGCUCUCAUGAUCAGUAAUGCCAGUUUCUCGGUGGACAAACAAAUGCCACUUAACAGCAAUAGCAACGCCUCCACCACGACCGUCCCGAUCUGUGCGCAGAAAUGCAUAGGAGGGAGGAACCACCUCAGAAUCAUGUAUAUCCGAGUUCAACCACGUCUCUGUAAUUACGAUUAUAUCUGGGCCAUACAACAGCAGCAGUUCCUCAAGCUUUUCAAGUUUAUUGACAAUGCUUCUCGCAUUAAAGCACAGUAACGUCAGCCGUGCAGUACUUUCUGUUUGUCAUUCAUUGAAAGUGCUAGCGUUCGCUGUCACGUGGGGCUUCGAGCGGUGCAAUGGCUCCAUUUUUUUCUGAUUAUUAUUCCAGACGUACAGAUCUUCAUUAAUCCUUAAUUUGUCAAAAUGUAGGCUGACUUUAUCGCCGUUAUCCCGACAACCUGCCGCGGCUUGCCAUAGCUUUUUGCGUACUGCACGAAUGUCAGCGGAAAAGUCUUCAGAAAUUGAAAUUUUCUUUCCUUUCAAUUUGAAACAGUUGCGAAGUACUGUCAUUUUUUCGGUAAAGUCAUAAAAGCGUAGUAUGAUUGGUCGAUCUCGACCAGGCUUUUUUAAGCCAAUUCGGUGUACGCGUUCCACAGUUCUGACCUGAACGUCUAGAAUAUUAUGCAGUAUAUCUUUUGUUACAAACGAUUCCAAGGCUGCAGGAUUUUCCUUAUCGUGCUCUUUCACGCCAUAUAUGACUAGGUUAUUGCGGCGACUCCUAUUUUCCAGCUCAUCAAUUUUUAUAGUCAUUUGGGCAACUUCACUGCGCAUAGCGUGCACAGUUGCCUCACACUUAUCAACUUUCUCGUGAUAUUGCCUGAGUGACGAGAGGGUCGCUUCGAUUUGUGAAAGCCUCUGCUGCACAUUUGCUAGACCAGUUUCUAAAGUCCAGUGCGAAGUUCGGGUUUCAGUUACAGCCCGCAAUAUUUCAUCUAGUUUAUCGGGGCCCGGAUUUUGCUCUACGUCACCACUCCGUUGCAAUACCAUGAGAAUGACGCGAAAUGAUUCCAAACAACAAAGCAGUGCGCACUGUGGGCUCGGCAGCACUACCAGACAGACAUCAUUGCUCUUAACGCAAGCACAAAAACGCCAUUUGUUACCAACCUGUACGAAGAACAGUACGAAGUAAGUCAUAGUGCUCCGGGCGAUGCUACCGAGCCCACUGAGUUGCGCGCGGCUGCUGGGCUUCCUUUUAAGCUGGUCCACCGAUGUUCCAGGGGUCGCUGGUGAGCCAAAUGAGCGAUCCAGGUGUGACUCAGCCGGUCCUAAAUCCAUGUGACGUGAUCAUGUCGGUAUCAAUGCUGGCGAUACGCCCAGUGCAGUGGAAAUGGGUUGUCGUGUGAACGGCGCCGUUGACGCCAUCGCCUUUGCCGAGGCAGGGAAGGAACCAGCGAUGCAUCCACGUAACCCCAGCUGGAUCUGUACGAAGAACAGUGCGAAGUAAGUCAGAGUGCUCCGGGCGAUGCUAUCGAGCCCACUGAGUUGCGCGCGGCUGCUGGGCUUCCUUUUAAGCUGGUCCACCGAUGUUCCAGGGGUCGCUGGUGAGCCAAAUGAGCGAUCCAGGUGUGACUCAGCCGGUCCUAAAUCCAUGUGACGUGAUCAUGUCGGUAUCAAUGCUGGCGAUACGCCCAGUGCAGUGGAAAUGGGUUGUCGUGUGAACGGCGCCGUUGACGCCAUCGCCUUUGCCGAGGCAGGGAAGGAACCAGCGAUGCAUCCACGUAACCCCAGCUGGAUCUGUACGAAGAACAGUGCGAAGUAAGUCAUAGUGCUCCGGGCGAUGCUACCGAGCCCACUGAGUUGCGCGCGGCUGCUGGGCUUCCUUUUAAGCUGGUCCACCGAUGUUCCAGGGGUCGCUGGUGAGCCAAAUGAGCGAUCCAGGUGUGACUCAGCCGGUCCUAAAUCCAUGUGACGUGAUCAUGUCGGUAUCAAUGCUGGCGAUACGCCCAGUGCAGUGGAAAUGGGUUGUCGUGUGAACGGCGCCGUUGACGCCAUCGCCUUUGCCGAGGCAGGGAAGGAACCAGCGAUGCAUCCACGUAACCCCAGCUGGAUCUGUACGAAGAACAGUGCGAAGUAAGUCAGAGUGCUCCGGGCGAUGCUAUCGAGCCCACUGAGUUGCGCGCGGCUGCUGGGCUUCCUUUUAAGCUGGUCCACCGAUGUUCCAGGGGUCGCUGGUGAGCCAAAUGAGCGAUCCAGGUGUGACUCAGCCGGUCCUAAAUCCAUGUGACGUGAUCAUGUCGGUAUCAAUGCUGGCGAUACGCCCAGUGCAGUGGAAAAGGGUUGUCGUGUGAACGGCGCCGUUGACGCCAUCGCCUUUGCCGAGGCAGGGAAGGAACCAGCGAUGCAUCCACGUAACCCCAGCUGGAUCUGUACGAAGAACAGUGCGAAGUAAGUCAUAGUGCUCCGGGCGAUGCUACCGAGCCCACUGAGUUGCGCGCGGCUGCUGGGCUUCCUUUUAAGCUGGUCCACCGAUGUUCCAGGGGUCGCUGGUGAGCCAAAUGAGCGAUCCAGGUGUGACUCAGCCGGUCCUAAAUCCAUGUGACGUGAUCAUGUCGGUAUCAAUGCUGGCGAUACGCCCAGUGCAGUGGAAAUGGGUUGUCGUGUGAACGGCGCCGUUGACGCCAUCGCCUUUGCCGAGGCAUGGAAGGAACCAGCGCUGCAUCCACGUAACCCCAGCUGGAUCUGUACGAAGAACAGUGCGAAGGGUCGCUGAUGAGCCAAAUGAGCGAUCCAGGUGUGACUCAGCCGGUCCUAAAUCCAUGUGACGUGAUCAUGUCGGUAUCAAUGCUGGCGAUACGCCCAGUGCAGUGGAAAUGGGUUGUCGUGUGAACGGCGCCGUUGACGCCAUCGCCUUUGCCGAGGCAGGGAAGGAACCAGCGCUGCAUCCACGUAACCCCAGCUGGAUCUGUACGAAGAACAGUACGAAGAGCUAUGCGUAUCCGUCGACAAUCCAAUCCGACCGUGCGCAUCAACGAGACUGGAGCCAGACGUCAUCGCCGAGCUGAUCCGAGCGGAGGAACGCGACCAAACGCCAGCGACUCGAUGCGGGACCACCUGAAGUGUUGCGCCUCUUCACGUGAUUCCGCGUCGAGUCACUGGCGUAAAACGGCCCAUUAAGUGACAGGUUCAAUCUUCUUGGUCAAACUUCCAGACCUUGUAACUUGCACGGGGAUGUUCACGUAUCGCUGGAAAGUUGUCUCUGCCUCACUCGGUGACAGUUGUGCCUCACUCAAGACCGAAGGUGGAGAUGUCUGACCUGGGCAACCAGGGGACGAUGACCUCCGACCCGCA
Long non-coding RNA from Dermacentor albipictus, 5742 nucleotides. RefSeq lists it as uncharacterized. The record is from RefSeq and is a predicted model, not a curated record. Lineage: Eukaryota; Metazoa; Arthropoda; Arachnida; Ixodida; Ixodidae.